GGACGUUUCUGCUGCGGCCAACCCUGACAAGAAACGAUGUUAAUAGAAGGACUGGAGUCAAAUGGAUUACUUGUGGAUUACUUGUGGAUUACUUGUGGAUUACUUGUGGAUUACUUGUGGAUUACUCGUGGAUUACUUGUGGAUUACUGUGAUGUUUUUUUCGGACUCUCAUUCUGACGGCACCCAUUCACUGCAGAGCAUCCAUUGUUUCUCACAGGAUGUCGAAUGUAAAAGAAGUGUCAUGCAGUGUGAGCGCUGAACGUGUUGGAGAUGCACCUGCAGUGGGCCGCAGGAAGCGCACACAAUAGAGUUUGUGUCAGCUCUGAGCAUCCUGUUUGGGAGGAAGUCAAGAUUCCUUUGGAUACGUGCACAUGCACAUUAACGUCCCAUUCACUAUUUACACUUUUACACACAUGUAAGCUUAACGUCAACAAGAGAUUUCUUUAUUAAUGCACAUUUCUGCUUGUAUUAUGCAUGAAUCCUCAGUACGUUUGAUUUCUAAUCUUUCAUCAAAAUGAAAUAACUUGCUCUGAAAUGACUUUUCUUUUCAGCUGAUGUCAUCAGCACCUCUUACUUUUCAUGACUAUUCACCAUCCAAUCAAUUCUUAUGGAUAAAAUCAAGUCUGGUCCGACAUGUU
Molecule: long non-coding RNA, 638 nt
Organism: Labeo rohita (rohu)
Lineage: Eukaryota; Metazoa; Chordata; Actinopteri; Cypriniformes; Cyprinidae
Exons: 3
Source: RefSeq, a predicted model, not a curated record